Molecule: non-coding RNA, 274 nt
Organism: Pelobates cultripes (western spadefoot toad)
Lineage: Eukaryota; Metazoa; Chordata; Amphibia; Anura; Pelobatidae
Source: the annotation of a GenBank genome assembly
CGGUGAUAAUGAGAUUACCCAUUGUGUUCAGUAAUCAUAUCACAUGCAGAGGGGAGGAUUUUGUGUGGGAGUGUCUGGGUGUAUUGUACGGAUUGAUUGGUUGUUUUGUAACGCCUGUGGGCUGUACUAUGUUUGUGGAUUGGGAAUAAAAGAGACUGUAUGUGACAGUACAGAGAGUUCCUGUUUUAACCCUCAAAGUGAAGUGUCGUCUCAUUAUUGGGGGAGGAUUUAUUGUAUGCUGUUCCAGUUUGACUGCUAGGAGUGUAAACCUAUU